Molecule: long non-coding RNA, 389 nt
Organism: Coregonus clupeaformis (lake whitefish)
Lineage: Eukaryota; Metazoa; Chordata; Actinopteri; Salmoniformes; Salmonidae
Exons: 2
Source: RefSeq, a predicted model, not a curated record
CCUAGGCGUGCAGAGCACAGGUGCAGCCUUCCUACCUAAACCCCUCUAUGAAAGAGUUAAGGAAUUCCAGCUUCUCCUCAUACUCUGAUAGUCUAAUGGGAUGUGUACCUUCAGGACACUCUUUGACUGAGAGCAGAGAGGAGGAGUUGAGAUUGAUAAGGGACUGUCCAUGGAGAUGCAAAAUGAUAUUUUCUCAGGUACCAAAAGUCCAGAGUAUUCCAGAGCAUCCAGAUGAAGACAUGAUGUGUCAAGGAGGAGUCAGAUGUGCCUCCUCAUCAAAGCUCAGAGAUCUCACUAAUACAACCCUGUUUGACACGGGACCAACGGAGAGAAGAUGAAUGUUGCUUGACAGUUUGCUGCAUUUUGUAAUACAUUUCUUUGAAAUGUUA